RNAcentral lists this ribosomal RNA (426 nucleotides) under uncultured bacterium. Its description in RNAcentral is "bacterial SSU rRNA". It matches the Rfam family "Bacterial small subunit ribosomal RNA", at positions 28 to 447 of the family's 1533-position model. The record is from RNAcentral.
GACGAACGCUGGCGGCGCGCCUAACACAUGCAAGUCGAACGAGAGAUGAGGAGCUUGCUCUUCAAAUCGAGUGGCGAACGGGUGAGUAACGCGUGAGGAACCUGCCUCAAAGAGGGGGACAACAGUUGGAAACGACUGCUAAUACCGCAUAAGCCCACGGCUCGGCAUCGAGCAGAGGGAAAAGGAGUGAUCCGCUUUGAGAUGGCCUCGCGUCCGAUUAGCUAGUUGGUGAGGUAACGGCCCACCAAGGCAACGAUCGGUAGCCGGACUGAGAGGUUGAACGGCCACAUUGGGACUGAGACACGGCCCAGACUCCUACGGGAGGCAGCAGUGGGGAAUAUUUGCACAAUGGGGGAAACCCUGAUGCAGCGACGCCGCGUGGAGGAAGAAGGUCUUCGGAUUGGUAAACUCCUGUUGUUGAGGAAG